UCCGUAGGUGAACCUGCGGAAGGAUCAUUAUUGAGAGAUUGGAUAGCACACAGUGCAAGACAGAUACCAUGAUUUAAAUCAUUAGAGACAUAUAAAGAGACAACUUUUAGCAACGGAUCUCUAGGUUCUCGCAACGAUGAAGAACGCAGCGAAUUGCGAAAAGUAAUGUGAAUUGCAUAAUUCCGUGAAUCAUCAAAUCUUUGAACGCACCUUGCGCUAGCUGGAAUUCCGGCUAGCAUGCCUGUUUGAGUAUUGAAAUACAAUCACCUUUGGGUGGACAUGGGCGAUGUUUAUAACGACUCGCCUCAAAGGAAAUUGGAGUAGAAUAGAACUAAAUAUCCUAACACUACUUGACCACAAAUCCAAUCUCAAAUCAGGUCGGACUACCCGCUGAACUUAA
Molecule: ribosomal RNA, 400 nt
Filed under: uncultured fungus
Lineage: Eukaryota; Fungi
Description: eukaryotic LSU rRNA
Rfam family: 5.8S ribosomal RNA (bases 102-255)
Source: RNAcentral